GAUGAACGCUGGCGGCGUGCCUAAUACAUGCAAGUCGAGCGAACAGACGAGGAGCUUGCUCCUCUGACGUUAGCGGCGGACGGGUGAGUAACACGUGGAUAACCUACCUAUAAGACUGGGAUAACUUCGGGAAACCGGAGCUAAUACCGGAUAAUAUAUUGAACCGCAUGGUUCAAUAGUGAAAGACGGUUUUGCUGUCACUUAUAGAUGGAUCCGCGCCUCAUUAGCUAGUUGGUAAGGUAACGGCUUACCAAGGCAACGAUGAGUAGCCGACCUGAGAGGGUGAUCGGCCACACUGGAACUGAGACACGGUCCAGACUCCUACGGGAGGCAGCAGUAGGGAAUCUUCCGCAAUGGGCGAAAGCCUGACGGAGCAACGCCGCGUGAGUGAUGAAGGUCUUCGGAUCGUAAAACUCUGUUAUUAGGGAAGAACAAAUGUGUAAGUAACUAUGCACGUCUUGACGGUACCUAAUCAGAAAGCCACGGCUAACUACGUG
This 497-nucleotide ribosomal RNA is filed under the name uncultured bacterium. RNAcentral's name for it is "partial 16S ribosomal RNA". It matches the Rfam family "Bacterial small subunit ribosomal RNA", at positions 28 to 507 of the family's 1533-position model. The record is from RNAcentral.